GACGAACGCUGGCGGCGUGCUUAACACAUGCAAGUCGAACGGAAAGGCCCCUUCGGGGGUCCUCGAGUGGCGAACGGGUGAGUAACACGUGAGUAACCUGCCCUUGACUUCGGGAUAACUUCAGGAAACUGGGGCUAAUACCGGAUAGGAAUCCUUGCUGCAUGGUGGGGGUUGGAAAGCUUCGGCGGUUUUGGAUGGACUCGCGGCUUAUCAGCUUGUUGGUGGGGUAGUGGCUUACCAAGGCUUUGACGGGUAGCCGGCCUGAGAGGGCGACCGGCCACAUUGGGACUGAGAGACGGCCGAGACUCCUACGGGAGGCAGCAGUGGGGAAUAUUGCACAAUGGGCGGAAGCCUGAUGCAGCAACGCCGCGGGCGGGAUGACGGCCUUCGGGUUGUAAACCGCUUUCAGCAGGGGCGAAGCUUGUGGUGACGGUACCUGCAGAAGAAGCACCGGCUAACUACGUG
RNAcentral lists this ribosomal RNA (465 nucleotides) under uncultured bacterium. RNAcentral's name for it is "partial 16S ribosomal RNA". It matches the Rfam family "Bacterial small subunit ribosomal RNA", at positions 28 to 507 of the family's 1533-position model. The record is from RNAcentral.